UCUCUCCAGCCACAUCUCCCAUCUCCUACUAUGAGUUUGUCAUAGACCCCACCUCCUUCUCCCGCUCUGUGGAGAACAUCUUCCACACCUCCUUCCUGGUCAGGGAUGGUUUGGCGAAAAUGUACCUGGAUAAUCACAAACUUCCUUGUAUCGCCCCUGUGGAGGAAGGGGAGGUGGAGGCUGGAGGAGCGUCUAACAGGCAGCAGUGUGUCAUCUCUAUCAGCCCCAAGAGCUGGAAGGAGUUAAUUGAGGCCUUUGAUAUCACCGAGCCACUGAUCCAUGCUCCCAGCACACAGAACACAGAAUGAUGCUGAUAUAACAGCUAUUUCCUUUUUAAAACAUUAGAGAAUUUUAUCGACUUUAACUUUAGCUAUAAAUAUUAGUUUUCUAUUCAUAGGUCUUGUUCGCGGUUUUUUGUAUUGUUUGAUUAAAGAGAGUGAACCCAA
This is a long non-coding RNA of Oncorhynchus gorbuscha (pink salmon), 446 nucleotides long. RefSeq lists it as uncharacterized. The transcript has 4 exons. Lineage: Eukaryota; Metazoa; Chordata; Actinopteri; Salmoniformes; Salmonidae. The record is from RefSeq and is a predicted model, not a curated record.